GCCACUUUAGCUCAGCUGGUAGAGCAAUUGUUUCGUAAACAAGAGGUCGCAGGUUCGAAUCCCGUAAGUGGCACCA
RNAcentral lists this transfer RNA (76 nucleotides) under Ruminobacter sp. Its description in RNAcentral is "tRNA-Thr". It matches the Rfam family "tRNA". Rfam says of the family: Transfer RNA (tRNA) molecules are approximately 80 nucleotides in length. Their secondary structure includes four short double-helical elements and three loops (D, anti-codon, and T loops). Lineage: Bacteria; Pseudomonadati; Pseudomonadota; Gammaproteobacteria; Aeromonadales; Succinivibrionaceae. RNAcentral also lists the same sequence under 1 other name. The record is from RNAcentral.